GACGAACGCUGGCGGCGUGCUUAACACAUGCAAGUCGAACGGAAAGGCCCUGCUUUUGUGGGGUGCUCGAGUGGCGAACGGGUGAGUAACACGUGAGUAACCUGCCCUUGACUUUGGGAUAACUUCAGGAAACUGGGGCUAAUACCGGAUAGGAGCUCCUGCUGCAUGGUGGGGGUUGGAAAGUUUCGGCGGUUGGGGAUGGACUCGCGGCUUAUCAGCUUGUUGGUGGGGUAGUGGCUUACCAAGGCUUUGACGGGUAGCCGGCCUGAGAGGGUGACCGGCCACAUUGGGGCUGAGUUACGGCCCAGACUCCUACGGGAGGCAGCAGUGGGGUAUAUUGCCCAAUGGGCGGAAGCCUGAUGCAGCAAAGCCGCGUGCGGGAUGACGGCCUUCGGGUUGUAAACCGCUUUCGCCUGUGACGAAGCGUGAGUGACGGUAAUGGGUAAAGAAGCACCGGCUAACUACGUG
RNAcentral lists this ribosomal RNA (468 nucleotides) under uncultured bacterium. RNAcentral's name for it is "partial 16S ribosomal RNA". It matches the Rfam family "Bacterial small subunit ribosomal RNA", at positions 28 to 507 of the family's 1533-position model. The record is from RNAcentral.